This 348-nucleotide ribosomal RNA is filed under the name uncultured bacterium. RNAcentral describes it as "bacterial SSU rRNA". It matches the Rfam family "Bacterial small subunit ribosomal RNA", at positions 917 to 1269 of the family's 1533-position model. The record is from RNAcentral.
GGGCCCGCACAAGCGGUGGAGCAUGUGGUUUAAUUCGAUGAUACGCGAGGAACCUUACCAGGGCUUAAAUGUAAGUUGCAUUAGUUAGAGAUAGCUUUUCUUCGGACUACUUACAAGGUGCUGCAUGGUUGUCGUCAGCUCGUGCCGUGAGGUGUCAGGUUAAGUCCUAUAACGAGCGCAACCCCUGUUGUUAGUUGCCAGCGAGUCAUGUCGGGAACUCUAACAAGACUGCCGGUGCAAACCGUGAGGAAGGUGGGGAUGACGUCAAAUCAUCACGGCCCUUACGUCCUGGCUACACACGUGCUACAAUGGUCGGUACAGAGAGCAGCUACCGGGUGACCGGAUGCG